This is a long non-coding RNA of Meleagris gallopavo (turkey), 664 nucleotides long. RefSeq lists it as uncharacterized. The record is from RefSeq and is a predicted model, not a curated record. Lineage: Eukaryota; Metazoa; Chordata; Aves; Galliformes; Phasianidae.
UCCCCACCCACUGAAGGAACGCAGCAGCUGCUCUGAGCUGAGCUGCUCUGCGUCGGCACAACUUUAACACCCUCUGAGUGAAGAAGUGGUGCUGCAGAGGUGAGAGGCGGUGGAUUAACUCAGUGCUGUUCCUUCCUGCUGCUCCUGGGGUGACUCAGCCCAUGCAGCAGCUCCAGCAGCGAGGAUGCCAAUGCAUGCAGUCCCCAUUUCCAGGGGCUAUCUGUGCCUCCAACUCCUGAGCCCAGGCUGAGCUGAUGCUGCGCAGAGCAUCACCCCAUGGCACCAAAGUGCUCAACAGCUUUACUGUGAGGUUGACACCUCUGAUCCCCAGCACUGAGCAUCACCCAGCAGCACUGCAUUCAGUGAACCUGUCCAGGUGCUCCUCACUCCAGCAUUGCUCUUACCCAACCUGCUCAAACACUGUCACCUCCCUCAGCACUGUGAUGCAACUGCACACCAUGUAAGCCAGUUGCGUCCAUUCCACAAAGGAAACUGCCCUGCACACGCACGAUGCUCGCUGUGUUUACCUGUGUUUCCUUCGCCAUGGCAGAGAUUUUGACGGUGCAGUUUCGUUCUGACUCACCACUGCUUACUGCUGUGGAAACACAUUGACUCUGCAGUACUACGAAGUAGUUGCAUGAAUGAAUAAAGCACCUUUCCUAAA